This 447-nucleotide ribosomal RNA is filed under the name uncultured bacterium. RNAcentral describes it as "SSU rRNA". It matches the Rfam family "Bacterial small subunit ribosomal RNA", at positions 26 to 518 of the family's 1533-position model. The record is from RNAcentral.
AGAACGAACGCUGGCGGCAGGCCUAACACAUGCAAGUCGAACGCUCGUAGCAAUACGGGAGUGGCAGACGGGUGAGUAACACGUGGGAACGUACCCUUCGGUUCGGGAUAACUCAGGGAAACUUGAGCUAAUACCGGAUACGUCCGAGAGGAGAAAGGUUUACUGCCGAAGGAUCGGCCCGCGUCUGAUUAGCUAGUUGGUGAGGUAACGGCUCACCAAGGCGACGAUCAGUAGCUGGUCUGAGAGGAUGAUCAGCCACAUUGGGACUGAGACACGGCCCAAACUCCUACGGGAGGCAGCAGUGGGGAAUAUUGGACAAUGGGCGCAAGCCUGAUCCAGCCAUGCCGCGUGAGUGAUGAAGGCCUUAGGGUUGUAAAGCUCUUUUACCCGGGAAGAUAAUGACUGUACCGGGAGAAUAAGCCCGGCUAACUUCGUGCCAGCAGCCGC